This is a non-coding RNA of Myotis brandtii (Brandt's bat), 79 nucleotides long. The record is from Rfam. Lineage: Eukaryota; Metazoa; Chordata; Mammalia; Chiroptera; Vespertilionidae.
GGCGGUUCUCAGGUGACACACCCAGGAAUUGGGCUCCCUCCUCUCUGGUUCCCGGUGGGUGCGUCACCUGAUAACCACA